Long non-coding RNA from Pelmatolapia mariae (spotted tilapia), 2556 nucleotides. RefSeq lists it as uncharacterized. Lineage: Eukaryota; Metazoa; Chordata; Actinopteri; Cichliformes; Cichlidae. The transcript has 3 exons. The record is from RefSeq and is a predicted model, not a curated record.
AAUUAAAAAGGCAUGAACAUUUUUUUUGUAUCGAAAAAAUAUCGAACCGUGACACCAAAGUAUCGAACCGAACCGAACCGUGAAUUUUGUGUAUCGUUGCACCCCUAAUAAAUACACAAACAAUACACAUAUUCUUUCAAUUGUGUAAUUUAAGUGAUCUAGGUAGCUUUGUUUUGGAAGUUCAGUUAAUGCUAGAAAUGUGUACAAUGCGCGACACAUGAUGAAGACGAAACUCGGCCCGUCCCCAAAACGGUUGCACGACUGAAAAAUUGUCUCAAAAUGAGCCAAAAAUCGCACAGUGUAUGCCCAGCUUUACCUGACACCCUAAACCAGUUCUUUGCCCGUUUUGACUAACUGAUGGGAGUGUUUGAAGUAAAGUCAGACAUAUUGAUUUCUAAGCUCAGCAAUGACGUGCUCGGUUUUUUUUUCUUAUAAAGUACAGAAGAGCGACUUUUUUUAAAAAUAUUUAAUUUGCUUCAGCAGUUGAAAUUACAAGUUACAGACGUCGAUGUGAAACCAGCAGUCUGCUUCACACAAAGAUGACCCUCAGGGCGGGCAAUUCAGUUCAAUACUACAACAAAAACAACUAUUAUUGUGACUGUCGUCUUCUAGGAAGCGACGUGGCGCUCCUCCCUUGCAUAUCUUCUCCUCUCUGACCUCGUCUCGGUCAGACAUGAACCAGAACAUGACCCAGAAAAAAUAUCACCCUGACUUUAACCAGUUAUGUGUAAGCAUGUUUGCAAAAAUCCCUUCUUCUUUUCAAUUCAAUUGAAUUUUAUUUACACAGCGCCAAAUCACAACAACAGUCGCCUCAAGGCGCUUCAUAUUGUAAAGUAUAUCGUACAAUAAUAGAUACAGAGAAAAACCCAACAAUCAUAUGACCCCCUAUGAGCAAGCACUUUGGCGACAGUGGGAAGGAAAAACUCCCUUUUAACAGGAAGAAACCUCCGGCAGAACCAGGCUCAGGGAGGGGCGGGGCCAUCUGCUGUGAUCGGUUGGUGUGAGAGAAGGAAGACAGGAUAAAGACAUGCUGUGGAAGAGAGACAGAGAUUAAUAACAGGUAUGAUUCAAUGCAGAGAGGUCUAUUAACACAUACUGAGUGAAGAAGAAACACUCAAUGCAUCAUGGGAAUCCCCCAGCAGUCUACACCUAUUGCAGCAUAACUAAGGGAGGAUUCAGGGUCACCUGGUCCAGCCCUAACUAUAUGCUUUAGUAAAAAGGAAAGUUUGAAGCCUAAUCUUAAAAGUAGAGAUAGUGUCUGUCUCCUGAAUCCAAACUGGAAGCUGGUUCCACAGAAGAGGGGCCUGAAAACUGAAGGCUCUGCCUCCCAUUCUACUUUUAAAUACUCUAGGAACAACAAGUAAGCCUGCAGUGUGAGAGCGAAGUGCUCUAAUAGGGUGAUAUGGUACUACAAGGUCAUUAAGAUAAGAUGGGGCCUGAUUAUUUAAGACCUAUAGAGAAAUAUCUUUGACACUGUUUCAGUUAUUAUGUUACAUGUUUGAUUUUGUAUAGUAUGUUGGUAGAGAAUAUAUGCUGCGUGUUUAAUUUGUGUCGGGUAAGAAAACAUCACAGCACAUGUGUGGUAGCAGGUUAGAAACACAGCAGAGAAACAGCUUUAGUGAAGGUUACAAAUGAUCUUCUUAUGGCCUCUGACAGUGGACUCAUCUCUGUGCUUGUCCUGCUAGACCUCAGUGCAGCGUUCCAUACUGCCGACCAUAAUAUCCUAUUAGAGCGAUUAGAGCGCGCUGUAGGUAUUACAGGUACUGCACUGCAGUGGUUUGUAUCAUAUCUAUCUAAUAGACUCCAAUUUGUGCAUGUAAAUGGAGAGUCCUCUUCACACACUGAGGUUAAUUAUGGAGUUCCACAGGGUUCAGUGCUAGUGUAACAUAGUUAAAUAGAGUCAAAGUUAAAUCCCGCUAAAUGGGACAUUGGCGCCACCUACUGUUGUAAAAGUCACCCUGCAACAUUCAAAAAGGGCAAGGGAUUCUGGGUAAUCCUCAGAAUAAUGGAGGAUUCCCGCGAGGUAAGGAAUGCGCAAAUGUCGUGGGGAAGAAAAAUCAUAUUGCAGGUUGUUAAAGUAAUACAAUCUGACCCGAUUAUUUUUGUUGUUUAUACAUCAUUUGUUGCGGGUCAUUUCUCCAGUCUUUAUGUUGAAUUGAGUGCACGUUUAUGUGAGAUUUCUUUAUUGGGAAGAGAGGAAAAAAAUGGGAGCAUAGUUAGCUAACUCUGUUGUUGCUUUCCCAUUUAGAUCUUGUGCUGCUCACCCACGCCAUUAAAAGAGAGCAUUCUAACCACUGCCUUUUUGUUGUGAAUGCAGCUGCCGUCCACCAGGGGGAGCUGCAGCUCCUGCACACCAGCCUGGACCCACACACAUAUCUGAGGCCUGUAAAGACAACAUGCUGAAAUCACGUCAGACCUAUCUUAAUGAAGGUGACACAGCUGAGCCAGUCAGAGAUCCUGUAUAGCGGGUAUCCUCGGUAUACCCUCUGACACCACCACAUCUGUCCACAACACACACUUAAAAGGAUACGGGGUCCCCUGACCCCCUUAUAACAG